This 468-nucleotide ribosomal RNA is filed under the name uncultured bacterium. RNAcentral describes it as "partial 16S ribosomal RNA". It matches the Rfam family "Bacterial small subunit ribosomal RNA", at positions 28 to 507 of the family's 1533-position model. The record is from RNAcentral.
GAUGAACGCUGGCGGCGUGCUUAACACAUGCAAGUCGAACGGAAAGGCCCAAGCUUGCUUGGGUACUCGAGUGGCGAACGGGUGAGUAACACGUGGGUGAUCUGCCCUGCACUUCGGGAUAAGCCUGGGAAACUGGGUCUAAUACCGGAUAGGACGAUGGUUUGGAUGCCAUUGUGGAAAGUUUUUUCGGUGUGGGAUGAGCUCGCGGCCUAUCAGCUUGUUGGUGGGGUAAUGGCCUACCAAGGCGUCGACGGGUAGCCGGCCUGAGAGGGUGUACGGCCACAUCGGGACUGAGAUACGGCCCAGACUCCUACGGGAGGCAGCAGUGGGGAAUAUUGCACAAUGGGCGCAAGCCUGAUGCAGCGACGCCGCGUGGGGGAUGACGGCCUUCGGGUUGUAAACUCCCUUCGCUAGGGACGAAGCGUUUUUGUGACGGUACCUGGAGAAGAAGCACCGGCUAACUACGUG